This 216-nucleotide small nucleolar RNA is filed under the name Colobus angolensis palliatus. RNAcentral's name for it is "Small nucleolar RNA U3 (ENSCANG00000002554.1)". It matches the Rfam family "Small nucleolar RNA U3". From Rfam's summary of the family: Small nucleolar RNAs (snoRNAs) are involved in the processing and modification of rRNA in the nucleolus. There are two main classes of snoRNAs: the box C/D class, and the box H/ACA class. The record is from Rfam by way of RNAcentral. Lineage: Eukaryota; Metazoa; Chordata; Mammalia; Primates; Cercopithecidae.
UGGUAACACUUCCAUGCACCACUUCUACAGUUUCUUACCAGGGAGGUUGCUCUGAACUUGUGGAGCACCGGAAACCACAAGGAGGAGGCUCAGCAUUCACUCCUGAGCACGAAGCUGGCUCUUGGUGGUGCUUUCUCGGCAGUUGCCUUUUGCCACUGAUGAUCACUCUUCUUUUCCUUUGGGAGAGUGAAAGGGAAAGGAUGCCAUCUGAAUGAU